This 301-nucleotide ribosomal RNA is filed under the name uncultured bacterium. RNAcentral describes it as "partial 16S ribosomal RNA". It matches the Rfam family "Bacterial small subunit ribosomal RNA", at positions 509 to 809 of the family's 1533-position model. The record is from RNAcentral.
CAGUCGCCACGGUAAUACGUAGGGCGCGAGCGUUGUCCGGAAUUAUUGGGCGUAAAGGGCUUGUAGGCGGUUGGUCGCGUCUGCCGUGAAAUCCUCUGGCUCAGCUGGGGGCGUGCGGUGGGUACGGGCUGGCUUGAGUGCGGUAGGGGAGGCUGGAACUCCUGGUGUAGCGGUGGAAUGCGCAGAUAUCAGGAGGAACACCGGUGGCGAAGGCGGGUCUCUGGGCCGUUACUGACACUGAGAGACGAAAGCUAAGGGAGCAAAUGGGAUUAGAUACCCCAGUAGUCCCUGUCUCUUAUAA